GAUGAACGCUAGCUACAUGCUUAAUACAUGCAAGUCGAGGGACCGGCGCACGGGUGAGUAACACGUAUCCAACCUGCCCUUUACCCGGCGAUAGCCUUUCGAAUGUAAGAUUAAUACUCAUCACACAGGAUGGGGAUGCGUUCCAUUAGGUGUUAGGUGAGGGAACGGCUAACCAAGCCUUCGAAGGAUAGGCGUUUUGAGAGGAAGGUCACCCACAAUGGAACUGAGACACGGUCCAAAAUGCGACGGGAGGCAGCAGUGAGGAAUAGUGGUCAAGGGGCGCUAGCCUGAACCAGCCAAGUAACGUUAAGGAGGAAGGCGUAGGGGUCGUAAACUUCUUUUAUAUAAGAAUCUGUAUUAUAUGAAUAAGGAUCGGCUAACUCCGUGCCAGCCGCCGCGGUAAUUC
RNAcentral lists this ribosomal RNA (406 nucleotides) under uncultured bacterium. RNAcentral's name for it is "partial 16S ribosomal RNA". It matches the Rfam family "Bacterial small subunit ribosomal RNA", at positions 28 to 526 of the family's 1533-position model. The record is from RNAcentral.